UCAGGAGUGAGGCGGAGAACGCGUUCGGAGGGCUUCCACUGGGCGAAGACUGGGUCAGGGACGGCGAGGUUGCCGGAGCUCCGGCGACCUGCAUUAGAGAAGGCGGAGGUUGAGUUGUUAUUGUUGUUUCUGAUACUGUUGUUGUUGUUGUGGGAUUGAUGAAGCUGAGAGGAGUACGAAUUGAGCUUCUGAGAAUGAUCAGUAGUAGUAGUAGCAGUUUCUAGGGUUGUGGAGGUGGUGGUUUUAGUGAUUGCUGUUGUGUUCCUGAGAUGUGGAGGCACAUAAGACAUUGUUUGAUUGAUUGAGAUAGAGAGAGGGGGAGGGGAGUGAGAGUGAUGACUGAUGAGCUAUAAAGAAGAAGGAAUGGAGAUAUUUGGGAACCAGAGUAUAAAUGCCGCUCUUGGUGAACUCGCUAUCUUGCG
RNAcentral lists this long non-coding RNA (422 nucleotides) under Actinidia chinensis (golden kiwifruit). Its description in RNAcentral is "long non-coding RNA (ACHI_LNC003599)". The record is from RNAcentral. Lineage: Eukaryota; Viridiplantae; Streptophyta; Magnoliopsida; Ericales; Actinidiaceae.